Molecule: ribosomal RNA, 312 nt
Filed under: uncultured bacterium
Lineage: Bacteria
Description: bacterial SSU rRNA
Rfam family: Bacterial small subunit ribosomal RNA
Source: RNAcentral
GACGAACGCUGGCGGCGUGCUUAACACAUGCAAGUCGAGCGGUAAGGCCCUUUCGGGGGUACGACGAGCGGCGAACGGGUGAGUAACACGUGGGUGACCUGCCCUCAGCUCUGGGAUAAGCCUGGGAAACCGGGUCUAAUACUGGAUAUGACUCCAUGACGCAUGUUGGUGGGGUGGAAAGCCUUGUGCGGCUGAGGAUGGGCCCGCGGCCUAUCAGCUUGUUGGUGGGGUGANGGCCUACCAAGGCGACGACGGGUAGCCGGCCUGAGAGGGCGACCGGCCACACUGGGACUGAGACACGGCCCAGACUCC